UAAAACAAAGCAUCGUGAUGGUCCCUGCGGAUGCUAACACAAUGUGAUUUAUGCCCAGUGCUCUGCAUGUCAAAGUGAAGAAAUUCACCAAGUGCGGGUAAAUGAUGGGAGUAACUAUGACUCUCUUAAGGUAGCCAUAUGCCUCAUCAUCUAAUUAGUGACACACUUGAAUGGAUUAAGAGAUUCUCGCUAUCCCAGGCUACCAUCUAGAGAAACAACAACCAAGGGAACGAGCUUGGAAAAAUUAGCAGGGAAAGAAGACCCUGUUGAGCUUGACUCUUGUCCAACUUUGUGAAAUGACUUGAGAGGUGUAGAAAAACUGGGAUUUGCUUUCAUCGCAAGUGAAAUACCACUACUUUUAACAUUAUUUUACUUAUUUUGUGGGGGGAAGAUGAGGCAUUGCACAUAUAUUAAAAGAUAGUGCACAUUUCCUCAAAAUGUUGUCAUUGAUGGCAAUGGUCGAAAGCUCAUUCUUCACACACUUGAUGGAAAUGAGUUUAGGAAACCAAAUAUGAUCAUUACUUUUAAGGAUUAAGAAAGUUCAUAUAACAAUCCCUAUGUUUUUAGCCAACAUCCCCCUAUAAGUAUCUAUAUUAUGGUCCCUCCUUGU
Molecule: non-coding RNA, 610 nt
Organism: Picea glauca (white spruce)
Lineage: Eukaryota; Viridiplantae; Streptophyta; Pinopsida; Pinales; Pinaceae
Source: Rfam